UGCCAGCAGCCGCGGUAAUACGGAGGGUGCGAGCGUUAAUCGGAAUUACUGGGCGUAAAGCGCAUGUAGGCGGUUUGAUAAGUCGGAUGUGAAAUCCCUGGGCUUAACCUGGGAACGGCAUUCGAUACUGUCAGGCUAGAGUAGGACAGAGGAGAGGGGAAUUCCGCGUGUAGCAGUGAAAUGCGUAGAUAUGCGGAGGAACACCAAUGGCGAAGGCACCUCUCUGGGUCCAUACUGACGCUGAGAUGCGAAAGCGUGGGGAGCAAACAGGAUUAGAUA
RNAcentral lists this ribosomal RNA (279 nucleotides) under uncultured bacterium. RNAcentral describes it as "partial 16S ribosomal RNA". It matches the Rfam family "Bacterial small subunit ribosomal RNA", at positions 506 to 784 of the family's 1533-position model. The record is from RNAcentral.